GUUGGGUAAAAUUCCCCAACCGAUUUACACGGUUUCAUUUGCCGGGUAUAAAGCCCAAUUUCUUUUUUUUCUUUUUUAUUUUUUUUCACGAUAUCAAGAGAACUAGAGAAGAGAGAGAUGGCGAUGAUGAAGAAGAAAAACGUUGAACUGCUGCUACUGCUACGACGAUUUGGUAGGUUUUCUUUCUUUUCUUCUUUCUUCUUCAUUCAUUCUUCUUCUUCUUCUUUGGUUGGGUUUUCGAUUUGGAAAUUUUUUUUUAGGGUUUUUGAUUUUUGAAUUAUAAUCAACGAUUUGGGUUUAUGUGGUUACUUUCAUGGCUAAAAGGGUUAUGAAUUUACUUAUAAUCAACAAUUGUUGUUAAAAUAUCGUGUUUUCUAUGUGUAAAAAGAACUAGGGUUUACAAAAUUGAAAAUUUUGCUUUAGGAUUUGGGGGAUUUACUUAUAAUCAACAAUUGUUGUCAAUUAAUCUUAUUGAUUCUACUUCACGUUUUAUUUAUAGUUGUUAAUUAAAGUUAAAAACAAAACAAAUGGAAAGCUUUAGAAGCCCUAGGUUGGCUUUAGGAUUUCAUAGACCUAUUUUUCUCACAAUUAAUUAGCUUAUUACUAAUAAAGAUCUGAACUAAAUUUGCAUUUUCCUCGUCUGAAUUAAAUAUAAUUUGGAUCUAUUGCUUCAAUUUUUGAACUUGCCAGAAUGAUUCUGGAAUAUGAACCAGAAAUGAGUACUUGCUCGAGUUGAAGUGAAGAGAUUCUGAAACCUGGUUAUCAUGCGCACAAAGGAAAGCACCUAAUAUUUUUGUGUAGCUUAAAUCGAUUGUGUAUGUUACUGGGAAAGUUAUUGCACAUUCUCAAUGAUUUAGUUUUUUAUUUAGCGAUUAUGUCUAUGUUGAUCAGUAUGUUCUGGUUUCAAACUGAUUGUUUUCUGCAGACGAUACGUCCAAGAUACAAGUCAUUCAUGUAAGUCCUAAGUAUUAGAUUUGCUAAUUUAUCUGUUAAUUAGUUUGUACAUGUUUGCGAUACUUUUCUUUGUAAUUACUAACUUGUUUUCAGGUUUGCGAAAUGAUGCAGGCCGACCAAUUUUCAUUGGAGAUGUGUUUGGUGUAGCUGACUGUAUCUUAUAUACUCGCGUUAAUUGAAUUUCAUUGGUGAGCUUACAAAUCGUGUAUUACUGAACAAAUUUAUUUGGUCCUUUUAGAAAUAUUUUGUACUUGCUACUUUAGUGAGUUAGCUCUUGAUAUUCAUUCUUUUGUGUUAAAGGGAAAUGAAGCUUGUAACAAUAGGCCAAUGUCCCAAAGGCAAGAUCAAUGUCUGGUUGCCAGUAAGGGGGUAAAUUCUUUUAUCAAUCAUUUUAUGGUUGCAUUUACAGUGGUACAUUAUAUCAGUUAGCUGUGGACUCUUAUUGUUUAUUGUUAGGUUUUAGACCUUGUGCAAUAAAAGUAUGUGGGCUGCACUAUUGUGGUUUCUAUAACUUUGAUUUGUGGACUGUGGGUCAAAAAGUAUGUUGAAGCUUGAAAAUGUUUGAAACUCCAUUCCCUUAUGUGCCAAAUUGGUGUUAGCUUAAAGUUUUAAACUCUUAGUAAUUUGUUUCAAUGCUCAAGACAUUUAAUUUUUUUUUUUUUUUUUAAGUCCAUGGUUAUUAAUGUCUACCCCUUUCUCUACAUACUACCACUAAACAAACUGUGUUUCCUGUUUUUAAUUUUUUUCCACUUAAUGAAGUUCUAGGUCUGUCACAUGAACCUCUGUAGUAUUACAUAUUCAUUGGGGGCUUAUGAUUGGCUUGCAUAAUUAUAGUUUCAAUUGAAUAUUUUAUUGAAAUGUAACUGCUUUACGAAAGCCAUUGAUUCAGGGUCCUUAUAGUUAGCCUAUAAGAAUGAGGAAAUGACACGCCGACGGAAAUUAGCUCUUCGAAAGGAUCUUAAACCUUAUUCAGUUCAGCGAAGGGAGCUUCAGUUCAGCUCCCCUCAUUAACAGUGUUUGGUAUUUUGGAAUGAUUUUU
Molecule: long non-coding RNA, 1993 nt
Filed under: Aquilegia coerulea
Lineage: Eukaryota; Viridiplantae; Streptophyta; Magnoliopsida; Ranunculales; Ranunculaceae
Description: long non-coding RNA (ACOE_LNC001386)
Source: RNAcentral